ACCCAGGAUCACUUCCGAAACCACUUGGCCUUCAGCCCCUGCCUCGGCCAGAGGUUUCAUUUUUAACUGAAUAUUUACGAAAGCUGAAAGCGUGCGAGGGGGGUGGGGUGGAAAUAGCGGCUGCUUCUUUUCCAAGGAUUUAUUUAAUGGGGAUGUGUUCAAGGCAAGACCGAAUUCAGAAGGAUAUCGACGUCGUGAUCCAGAAGUCCAGAGCUGAGGACUGCCUGUUUGCAGGGCCCGCCUGGCAGGACGACUGAGCAAGUUCUUGGAAAACCAGAGAUAUUAGAGCGGUGAAUCGCGCUGGUCACGUUGGACACCUGCGCGUUAGGAGAUUCUGGAGCCAGAGGGAGAGACCCCAGAAACGCCCCGGUCGGCGACCCAGCCCGAGACGCCUGGGGUCCCAAGGGAAGCUGAACGCCCGGUGGGCUCCCGGGAUGGUUCUUCCGGUUCUUUGUGCCGCCUUCACCCAGUGAAGGAGCCUGUAUCCACCCUGCCCAGUCGCUGUUGGGCUGCUGCGGAGCUUCCGCUGCCAUCUUCGGAUCCUGUGUUCCGCCCGGGGCUCCACCAGGGCAGGGAUGGUGGUGAGGGUCGCUCGUGGGUCCCCUGGCAGGGAGCAGGGUCUGGCACUCACAAGGGCGCACGACUAGGACUUGUCGAAUGAAUCCCUUGUCGCCUUUAGCUUUUAGUCCUUUGAAGAGAGGUGAGAGUGGAAAUCAAGAGAUUUUUUUCCACGGGGAAGUUCUUUUUACAAAGCGUUGAUUUCUUGGCACCCCGCGGGGCGGGCAACUGACACGACCUCCGGUGCACCUUCUGCGCUGUGGAGCCUCUGGGGCUCAGCUGGGCGGUGGUCGGGUCGUGGGGCGGUAGGGCGGGAGCGGGGGAAGGGAAAGCAAAAGCUGGAAAAGAAGCAGGGGAGUUGUGAACCAGACAUCCAGACCUCCUGAAGGGCUCGUGCAGACGUACAGGCGGGAUCUUCUGGAAGUGAGAAUUGUUUUUGUUUGUUUAUCUAUUGUAGCAGAAUGGGGAAAUGGAGAGAGAACCUGAAAGAGCCCCAAACUCGAGGACCUAUUGCUCCCCAAGAAUAACAUCUUCCAGAACUAGACAGAAAACUAGGCGUCUGGGAACCCUGAAAUCCUUGGAGGAGUAGAUCAUCAUGACCCUCUGUGUUCCUUUUGGCAAAUGACUUGCUUCCAUUGUUUGUUUGUUCAAUUGUCUGUUUGUUAAAUAAAUAAAACCCUUUUUAUGUAUCUUUAAAAUUACAUUGGUUCUAUUAUUUUAUGAUUACAAACGAUGCUGCAGUCAUCAUUCUUGUACACUUCUCAUUGGCCACUGGUGUAUUUCUAUAGGGUGGAGGCCUGGAGAGCAGUUGUUCCAGCAUAGUGUUUACAUAGCUUUUAUUUAAUUCCGUUUUCUUUCCUUUGUUGCUUUAUUAGCUAUAACCCUUCUCUUAUUUCAGUGGCAGCUUUAGGGUUUCUGGGAUACAUCUUUAAUUUAUCACAUUCUGCUUUCAAGUGUAAUUAUACCUCCCUUUCUGGCCUUUAUCCUAGUGUUACGUAUUUUUACUUUAUGCAUUAUAAGUUUUGUGAUUAUCAUUACCUUCAUUUAUUAUGUCAAAUAUUUUUAAAAAGAUUUAAAUUAUAAGAAAAUGUGUAGUACAUGCUUUCUAAAUGCCAUUUCCAAUAUUUGUUUUUGUAUAGGUCCAGAUUUUUAUCUGGGAUCCUUUUGCUUCUGCCUGGAGGACUCUUAAGAUUUCUUGUAGCGUGGGUUGGUGAAUUCUUUUAGUUUUUGUAUGUUUUUCAAUGUCCUUAUUUCACUCACAGUUUUGAAAUUUUAUUUUUGCAUAGAAUUCUAGGUUAAUUUUUUUCUCUAGUACUUUAAAAAUGUUGCCAUUUAUGAAGCAUUGCCAUUUAAAGUAUCAUCUUUCAUGUGCUUGUGAAAAUGGCAUAAAGCCGGUUUCUUGUGCUGGUUAUGUAAUUUUCAGAAUGUGUAUUUAAAUUUAAAAUAUUAAAUUUUCCUAAAAAACUAAAAAUAUUAAUCAUGAAUGUCCUAGAUUCAUCUUAAAUUCCACCAACAGUGCACUUAAAAUGUGCCCAACCUGAGGGUCAAACCUACCUGCUGACAUGUAAUUUGUGUUUGUGAGACAUUCUCAACAGCAUUUGCUUUCCCCAGCUGAGUGAUCUUCCUCACAUCUGAAUGUCUUCAGUGCAAAAGGAAAUGUUUUUCUUCGCAAAAAUACUUUCAAAUACUCUUACUUCAAGGAAGUGCAUUAAAAACAAACUUCUCAUUUGCAUCCCUGGAAUUCAAAGCCCUAAUCAAGUGCUUCAGGAUCAAGAGCUAAACAGGGGAGGACAAAGCGUGGCUUCUUCACUAGGAGUCAAGCCAAAGUCAACUGGUUUGAUCGCCAACGUAGAUCGGAACUCGGUUCACCAGCGACCUGAGGACCCGGCCCAGAAGAGGGAGUGUCUCUUCAUGGUGCCUUCAGAUAGAAAAUCUCCUAGGAUUUCUUUCUUUCCCUUUGAUCUACUUCCAACUCUCCCUUUCUAUUUCUUCAAGACCUUUUUCGGAUCCCUACUGCGAAGGACCUAAGGGGCCGGUGCCCUUCCCCACUGGUCCCUCCCUGCCUGGUGUCUUAGGAGCCCAAGCUCACCUGGAACAUUACUGCCCGCCGGAGACAGCGAGAGGACCAAGGAGCGCGGCGGUGCGGUGGGAACCACAGCGUCACCGCUCACCUGCGCCUCGUGGGCUCCUAGAAAAUUGAAUAAAUGCCCCCUGAAGCUUCUCUGCAGGUCACACGGAAGAGGAGGGUGGCUGCCGACACGCGGGAGAAGCUUCAAGAAGCGUCGGGAGGACCUACCUGGUCCUGCCCCUGGGCCUUGAAGACAGGCCUGGCCAGGCUGAUUUGGUCCGGUAGUCUCAAAGAAAAUGUUCAAGGGUGGCCCAAACCUCCACCCCAAGAUUAAGGCUCUUAAAUGUCUGACGGUUUUGAGACUCGUCAGUAGAAUCAAUCCCGCCUGUAUCAGGAGACUCCUUUGCCAAAAUUCAAAGACCAAGAAAGAGAAAGAUUGGGCAGGUUAAAGUCUGUAAUUAACCAAACAGGAGACAGAAUUUUUCUGAGAAAUUGUAUGUGUGCUGUGAGAAAAAGACUAGCCUCAAGGAGAAUCUGUUCUUUUGGCUUAAUUGUAGGAAAGAAUGGAAUUGCCACCAACAAUGGUACGUUGAAACGGCAGGUGCAUCAGGCUGUAGAUGUGAAGGAAUUAAAAAUAUUUUACCCCAAAAUACAUUUCUUUGACAUAUUUUGAGAUGUCUGUUCAGAAAGCCAGCUGCAGAAGUAGCCCUGCAAAGUUGUCUUUCGUUGGGGAGAUUUGCAUCUGUAGGGAAUCUGCAUUGAUGCAGCCAAGUCUUUCCUUGCCCAGAUCUAGGAAAGAUUAACUGAGAGUCUGACAGCUGUAAAGGUCUGAAAGAAACUUUCAGAGCUUAUUCUUUCUGAGAGCUGCUGCCUGUAAGGUUUCAUUUACAUAUUAAGAUCACCUUUGCUAGCCAGGCCUCCUCUUCUCUCCCUCCCAUAACCUGUCUUGCCCACAAUAAAUGGAUAUACCUCUGACUCUAA
Long non-coding RNA from Homo sapiens (human), 3607 nucleotides. RefSeq annotates it as long independently transcribed non-coding RNA 623. NCBI's taxonomy places the organism in Eukaryota, Metazoa, Chordata, Mammalia, Primates, Hominidae. The transcript has 2 exons. The record is from RefSeq and is marked validated.